This is a long non-coding RNA of Meriones unguiculatus (Mongolian gerbil), 5014 nucleotides long. RefSeq lists it as uncharacterized. Lineage: Eukaryota; Metazoa; Chordata; Mammalia; Rodentia; Muridae. The transcript is spliced from 6 exons. The record is from RefSeq and is a predicted model, not a curated record.
CUCUCGGUCUCCCGGGCAAGCCUGGCGUUUGUGCGUCUGCAAGCGCAGCCGCCAGCGGCCCGGCGGCGUGAAGGCCUGUAAACAAACAAAGGCGUUCGCAGCUCCCGCCCGCCGAGGCCAGCAGGCUGCAGUGGGUCCCCAGAUUUGCAUUUUUAACAAGUUCCAGCUGCUGCUGCUGGGCGGCUGCUACCCCGGGACCUCCCCCGCAGCACGAGCGGCCCUGAAGAACAAAGGCGAGCUUUGUGGGCUCUGGUCACAGAGACGACAGGAGUUUUGUGGUGCUGGUUGAGCGGCGUACAAGGCAAGGGGGACAUCACGCAGGAAGAACCAUGGAUGAAGAGAGGAGAAAGGUGGUUGCAAACAGCUUUCUCCAGGUAACAGCAUAGAAACCUGCAAGGCUCUCAGCUUUGGGGGACCUACCGAAUUCCUGCCCCGGAAGUCGUAGGACAGCAAUGGCUUACAAGCAGAGAAAAAUGACUCGGGCCCCAGACAGCGCCUCUCUGAAGAGACUGCUACACUCUCCACCCUGUGCUCAGGGGAGACUGAAGCCAGGCUGUAGCCCAGUGUCUAGGACGGCCACAUGCCCAGCUCCUGUGGGGCACUCCCAGGACUCCUGGCACGGCUUGCCACCCUCCCACACCACCCCAGCCGACGUUGCCUGGGCACAUGCCGUGACCCUGCUUGGAAUGGCCCCUAUCCAUAGGGACUCACUAGAAUGAAGGGUUAAGUCUGACCCGGGAAACCCCUAAAAAAGGAGUCAGAGCUGUCAGGUAAGUGUAGCCUGUGGGGUGAGGGCCAUUAGAGCGCAGAUUCUGGCGCCAGAGAUAAGAAGUCUCCCGGAAUCCUUUGAGGAGGACGUCUGGGUGGAUUUGACCUUGGUGGACCAUGGUCACCGUACGGGACGGCCUCACACGGAGCAAAGCCUUUGUGAACCAGGGUCUGAGUAGCCCACACUGCCCUCAAAGUGAACAUCCUCCUGUUUCUGGGAUUAGAGGUGCGAGCAUUGGCUCUGACUUCGUGUGUUAACGACGGAGCCCGCCCCGGACCACCACUGCCAGCACACUUUCAAAUCUGUGUGCCCUGAGUUCUGGGAACAAAGAAAUGACAUCGUUUUCAUUCCUGCCCUCGAGAGACCCCUCGACCCUCUGGGAAGGGCUGGCAGCGUGCACGGACGGUGGCACUACAGUCCGGAGGGCGACAGGAUUUCUUCCUUCUCGGGUUCGGGGCCCCGCUCGGCGGGCGCGCGGUGCGGCGAGCGCCCUACCUCCAGGCGCCUCCCUCGCCGGAGAGCAUCCUUUGUGCAGCCGCCUUCCAGGCCCCGCCCCUGCCUCCCGCCCCGCCCCCGGCGCGUUGCCAUGGAGACCUCAAGCCCCUCGAAGCUGCCUGCGUCUCCGCGCCCCUCCCCCCUCGCCGUCUCUCCCGGCUGCGGAUUCCCUCCAGGCUUGACAGUAUCCAGAACUUUCCUCAGGCGGGAGGUGUCCUCCGCCCUUCGGGGUCGGUGAAAGCCGAGCCCCAGACGUUAGGCGAUUUGCUCGCGGCCCCUCCUGCCGCCCUUCUCGAGCUCAGCUCGGACACGCUCCCGCCUUCCUUCCCAGUGCGUCGCGCUGGGCCUCUUCUCCACCUCGGCUCAUUUCUCUCUUUUUUUUUCCGACAAAUGACAUGAAGUUCAAUCCUUAGGUUUAGCGACUUCACAUCUAUUCUUGGAUUAGCUGUUUCAAGUCCUUUGUGAACUGAAAAUAGUGCCGGAUGAUAAAGACCUGCCAACAAGCCACCUCAGAAUGUACCAGCCCCGACUGGGUUCAGGCAACAGUGGUGAUCGUGUUUCCCAGCCUCGCAAUAUGCCAGAGGGAAUUAAGAAAAACCGUUGGUGACCACGCCAAAUUACCCACCACAGAGGGAGAAUUUGAAAGCUAAGUAUCAAGAGUUAGAACUCCAGAAGACAAGAGUAUCGAAUCCUAUGGGGGUGGGGGGAGAGAGACUGUCGUACGAGGCUGUUUUCCAAGCCCACCGGCCGUUUUUUGGCUUCUGCACACUAAUUUGGAGGUGUCGCUCCUGCACUCAUGCAGAUGUGAAAGGGCUGUGGAAACCUUCAGGUGCCCAUCAUAUGUCAUUUGUUGUUAUUCAAGGAACAGCAGGGGCUGGAGAGAGAGAGUUCAGGUGCCGAGUGCUUACAGUUCACGCUGACCCCCUGGGGGUUCCGUUUCCAGUACCCACGUGGUGGCUCGUAGCCACCUGUGACUAGGACCACCAGUUCUAGAGGCUCUGAAGCAUCUUCUGUCCUCCUUGGGUUUCUGCACACACUUGGUACACCCAUGCACACACACAUGAAAUAAAAAUAAAUAACAAACCUCAGCCCUUCUCCGCUGACCCCUUGUCACACUGACUUGAAACAGUCUAUCACUAACAUAAGUAAGGGGGAAAGUCCAUGUCCGGCCUGGGGAGCCCGAUUCUAAUCCAAGAAUCCACUGGGUCUGCUGUUCUUACUCUGUCCAUCUGGGAAGUCCAAGGCUGGAGUCCAGCGCAGGGUGGGGACGAAGGUCAGAAGGGCCCUAGGCCACGAGGGACAGGCAGCUGUCCAUCCCCCGGGCUCGCCCAUGGAGCUACAGCCUGCGGCUCUCCCUGUCCUCAGCCAGCCUCCUUCGGGGCUUCGUUUUCUGCACUAUCCAUACUCAUGGCGUAUCUUUCUUCCAUUAAUUCCAGUUACUCCACUUUGUCAAUGUUUCUGGAAUUAACCUCCCUCCUUCCCUCAGGAACCCACCUGACCCCUUGCCACCCCUGCCAGCCUCACAAGUCCUGAGCACCUUUUCUGUCACUCUACACUCCCCGCUCCCCGACAGCCUGGUGGCUGCAGGAGCAUUCCUCUCUCUCUCCCUCUCUCCCUCCCUCCCUCUCUCUCUCUCUGCAGGUUCUGUCUGGUACUUGGAGUUCUCUCCCUCAUAGCCUCAGGGGAGGAAGCUGCUGACUCACCCCAGGUUUGAAUGAACCUGGUUGUGUGGCUGCCCCUGGGGAGAUGUAAACAGUGUCAGCUUGUCUCACAUAGGCUCACAGGAAUGAGCCCUGCUCAGGGAACUCAUGGUUCCUGGGCCCACUUUGAGAAGCCUGGGAGACCCCUGCACAAUCACGUCACUUAAAGGUCUCACCUCAGCGUGGAGUCUCUGCCUUCGGUUAAUUUUCCACACUCUAUAUUAUGGCACUUUGGGAGCCCCAGUGCAGAUGGGGUGGAAUCACAAACAGGUGGAGAGGCCUGUGGAGGAGUCUCAGGCGGAAUCUCAGGAGGUGUUCUGAUGGCCUCCUCCUCCUCCUCCUCCUUCGAGGCAACACCAACUCAGCCACAUCCUCCCUUGGGAAGGGCUUCCCAAGGAUUCGGGGAGGGCUGCGUUCCACAGCAGGUAUCCGUGUGUUCUGACGGGAACCGCUUCACCACAGGUUCCUGGGAGUCGUGGAUACCGCCAGGACUAGCCGUGUGCUACUCAGCCACCACGUGGGGCCCAGCUCACACAGUUUGCACGGUUUCCUUGGGCCAGCGCCUCACCUUGGUGUUUGAGUGGGAUGGUUGGCUGUAGUCUCAAGCUGCCACAUUUGAGAAUCACUGGGGCAGGGGCCUCACCUGAGGACCUGCCCUGACUGCUUUAACUGCCACCCCAAAUGUGGCGUCUUGGAUAGAUAGGGGGGCUGGCAAAGGGAAGCUCAUUCCCCUUUGCUCCAUUGGCCUUCCCUCUUGGCUGGGGUUGAUUUAACCUGUUACCACUGCUGCCCGUGGUGAUGACGAUGAAGGCGAUGAUGACAACGAUUCAUUCGCUGAUGUUAGAACCAGCAUUUCCAGGUUUCCACCACAGACCAUGGACCGGCGCUCUCCAGCAAUCUACAAGGUUUCGGAGCCAGGCUGGGACUGUGGAGGACUCCUGGGUUGAGCAACAAACCAGCCUUUCAGGACCUAUGUGGCAGAAGGAGAGGACUGACUCCCACAAGGCCUCUGGUCUCCACACGCAUGCCACGCUGUCCUGCAAACGUGCACCACCACACGCAGCUCCAAGUUACUUCCGUCUGAGAAGCCUCUCACGGUUCACCCACGAGUAACUCUGCACAGACGCCCUGCCGGGAAUCUGGCGAAAGACCGCGUGGCCGACGCAGACUGUGGGAGCCAGCCCUCGGGAGUUCUGAAGGGCCGCAGAGGUUCCGAGGGCACCGUGGGCAGCCUUCGGGGGCGCCCUCCCGUGGGACAGAGAGCGGGCCCCGCCGCCUUGCCCCUGACUCCAGACAGCAACAGCCCCUGAGUUGCCGGUGUUUAGACUGCACAGCCCCUCCCGUGGGGUUCCUGGGGGCAGCCAGCCCCGGCUGCCUGGGAUCCGUCUGCAGCAUGGCACACUGGGCUGUGAGCCAGACAGGCGGCCACAAACCGGUGAGGGAACCCUGGAAUGCCGCGCAGAUGGGAGCGGCUGGGAUCGGCAUACAAAGCUGAGGUCAGAGGUCAGAGAGUUUGGUGUGCGCCUGCAGGGAAGGAGGGAGCUAAUGGGACUGAUUCCGAAGGCCCGAGGAAUGUACCAGAUACUUAUUUCCCGGGGGCUUAGAAACAAUGGUUUGACAGCUACUUUGAAAUUCUAGGAUGAUGGGCCUCAAAUCUGACCUAACUUUCAGGACAGAACCUUUGGCUCCACUACUUAACAGUGCUGUGAUCAACAACCCGCUUACCUCUCCCAGGACUCAGUUUAUGUUAGGAUUUUGGAACCAAACCUGCUUCUGGGUUGCCUGGCAACUUAUGAUGUCAUCAUGGGUCCCUGGCCAGGUGGCCAUACCUGGAAGGCAUGGUUACCUUGCCCCUUAAAGGGACCAACAUGUGGUCUCUCUUGGUCUCUGUUGCUCCUGGCCUCUUCUCUCUUGGCCUUCUCCCCUUUCUCUAUCGGAGCGCCCCCUUCUUUCUCUUUCCCUCUCUCUUCUCCCCCUCUCUUUUCCUCUAUUAUGUCCUGCUUCCCCCUUCUCUCCCUCUCUUCAUAUCCACCUAAUAAACCACUUUCAC